CAUCAAACUCUGUUUUUAUAUUAUAUUUUACAUCUGAAUCUAUAACGGAAUACGUUUAAAACUUUCAACAACGGAUCUCUUGGUUCUGGCAUCGAUGAAGAACGCACCGAAAUGCGAUAAGUAAUGUGAAUUGCAGAAUUCAGUGAAUCAUCGAAU
RNAcentral lists this ribosomal RNA (156 nucleotides) under Xylaria sp. 3429. Its description in RNAcentral is "5.8S ribosomal RNA". The stretch from base 60 to 156 matches the Rfam family "5.8S ribosomal RNA", at positions 1 to 97 of the family's 154-position model. From Rfam's summary of the family: 5.8S ribosomal RNA (5.8S rRNA) is a component of the large subunit of the eukaryotic ribosome. It is transcribed by RNA polymerase I as part of the 45S precursor that also contains 18S and 28S rRNA. The record is from RNAcentral. Lineage: Eukaryota; Fungi; Ascomycota; Sordariomycetes; Xylariales; Xylariaceae.